CGACCUGAGCUCAGACGAGAUGACCCGCUGAAUUUAAGCAUAUCAGUAAGCGGAGGAAAAGAAACUAACCAGGAUUCCCCGAGUAAUGGCGAAUGAAACGGGAAGAGCCCAUCCCGAAUCCCCCGUACCUCCUCAAAGGCCAACGGGUGGAGCUGUGGGGUAGGAGGCGCCGUCGCGAUGUAGGGUUGACCCGUUCCUAAGUCUUCUGGAAUGUGGCCACAGCCCCGAGAUGGUGAUAGGCCCGUGAGGGACCAGGUCCCCUAGUCGCGUCACGCUGGUGUCCUCGAGAGUCCGGCUGCUUGGGAGUGCAGCCCAAAGGUGCCCGAGAGGGUUGUGGGUGGUAGGCUCCAUCCAAGGCUAAAUACUGGCACGAGACCGAUAGCGCACGAGUACCGUGAGGGAAAGUUGAAAACAACUCUGACCAGAGGGUGAAAAGAGGUGAAACCGCCUGGAUGGAAACGGAUGGGCACACAAGGUCGAACCGGGCGGCACAACCAUGAUGUUGCUCGGGGGCGGGCUCUGGACCUCCCCUAAGGAGGUCUGACCUGUCCCACUCCCCCUACUGAGGGGGGGAGGGAUGGGUCUUCCCGGGACAGGUUGUAGAUGGGGUUCCUUCUGGCUUCCAACGUCGAAGCCGCCGGGCAGAGCUGAGUAAACGCCCUGGCAACCGGUGUCAUGCGGCCCGGUGAGAGAGCCACGGCCGGUUGGGGCCUGGGCCAGAAGUCCGAGGGCUCGGAAGGUAUCCCCUCCUGUAGGGAUUUGACUCUGCUCCUUCCUCGGUCGUCUAACGGCUGGGGGAUGGUUGGUGGGGCAAUCCCUGGAGAUGGUGAGAUGAUCUGGGCCGAUGCUAAGUCAGCUGGCGAGAGAAAGGACAGGCUGGCCCCGACCGUUCCAAUGCAAAGCUAUUCGCUGUCACCUCGACAAGGGGCCAGAGAUGGCCUGAGGUCAUUGGCAGAGCCUGGGUGUGAAGGGGAAUCCCAUUCCCCGUGAUGCCUGAGCCGGCCCAACCCGAUGUGGUCCAAUGACGGCUCCCCUGCUCCGGCGCCGCCCUUUAGACCAUCUGGAGGUGGGUGCCCCCCUGGGCACCUUUCCCCGGGUGCAGCGGGCUGUCCACAGCCCGGCUCCCGGGCCGAGGGGAGAGCGCGCCAAGAUUGGGCCUUAGGAAAUCGGGGGGCUUGAAAAAGAGGCCAUGAAGGCAGAGGCACCCGGACGACAGGGGGUCGGAGACAGAGGGCGGACGAUGGGGGGCUCGCCAUGGCAAAAACAAUGGGAGAGGAAGAGGGGGAGCAUCCGCUUCCCCCCUGCCUAGCCCAGCUGUGGCGGACAGCCCCAAAGAAGGAGAGAGGCCGGCAGGAAUGCCCCUCCUCCGAAAGACAAUGUCCGCUCCUCGGAGCCCCUUCAGGUAGGAAGGGGGAAAGCCGACCCUUAGGCAGAGCGAGCAGUCGUGGCGAGUUGGUAACCCAUCCGACCCGUCUUGAAACACGGACCAAGGAGUCUAACAUGUGCGCGAGUCGCAGGGCGGGCACGAAACCUGUCUGAGGCGCAAGGAAAGGAAAGGCUGAGGUAGGAUGCAGGGGAGCGGGGAAGCCCGCUCUUGGGCCGCACUACCCUCCUCCGGGGGCCCUUCAACGUCCUCGGGGGGAGAGAGCGCACAUGGUGGGACCCGAAAGAUGGUGAACUAUGCUUGGGCAGGCUGAAGCCGAGAGAAAUCUCGGUGGAGGGCCGACGCGGUUCUGACGUGCAAAUCGAUCGCUGGACCUGAGUAUAGGGGCGAAAGACUAAUCGAACCAUCUAGUAGCUGGUUCCCCCCGAAAUAUCCCGCAGGAUAGCUGGCGCCAACAAUCGCAGUUUCAUCCGGUAAAGCGAAUGAGUAGAGGUCGGGGGCCUAUGUGCUGUCGCCUAUUAUCAAACUCUCAACGGGUGCGAGAGCCUGCCCCUCAUCUGGGGGCAGCCGCCGGUGGGAAAAAAAAAAACAAAGAGUGCGGCCGGGGAAAGAGAUCUCUGUCCGAGGGGUCUUGUGGUGUCCCUCUCGACUGGGGGGCCCCCGGUUCCAGUGCCUCCACCGGGUUCCCGCAGGAGACCCCCUCCGCAUGGCCGAACCGACGGCGCAGGCCCUUGAAAGGGAGGGGUGUGGACGCGGGAAUGUAGCUUGAGAAUGCGUGGUGCUAAGUGGGCCACUUUUGGUAAGCAGAACUGGCGCUGUGGGAUGAACCAAAUGGCGGGCUAAGGUGCCUAAAUCGUCACUCAUCAGAUCCCAAGAAAUGUGUCAGUCGGUACAGACAGCAGGACGGUGACCACGGAAGUCGGGAUCCGCUAAGAAGUGUGUAAAAACUUACCUGCCGAACCGCCUGGCCAUGAAAAUGGAUGGCGCUGGAGCGACGUACCGAGACCCGCCCGUUCGUGGGCAGGCGAACAACGGGCAGCGAGGCAAAAAAAGAAAAGAGAAGGAGGGAGCUGGUCCCGUGCCGCCGGGGAAGCCUGAACGAGUAGGGGGGCGCGGAGGUGAGCGCAGAAGCCCGGUCCGUGGGGCCGGGAGGAGCCGCCUCUGGUGCAGAUCUUGGUGGAAGUAGCAAAUACUCCAGAGAGAACCUUGAGGGCCGAAGGGGAGAAGGGUUCCGCGGCGACGUCAUGCGUCCGCGGGUGAGUCGGUCCUGAGAGGUCGGCCAUUGCCGUUUAAAAGGGGGGGCCUUUUGCCCCCUGCGCUCGAAAGGGAAUCAGGCCACGGUUCCUGUACCCAGAACCCGAUAGGAUCGCCCGACUCACGAGUACCGAGGACGGAGUCUAGCAGCGGGGAGCAGGGUAGCCGCAUCUGUAUAUACCCCCUUUCUGCGGUUGCUCGGUGAGCUGUUGCUGGUUGAGAGGCUCCCGAUGGGGAAAGGGGCUGGCGUGAAAUGCGGCGACGCGCGCGAGCCAGGAGACGCCAGCGGUCGGACCGGCCAGGACUAUCUCUUCUGGUUGAGAGACGGUGAGCCCCCCGGAGUUUGGGCUUCGGGCCGAGAAGGGGGGGAAGUACUCGCAAAGCGUCCCCGAGUAGGGCGUCCGGGAACCGUCCGCUGGCCCUUGAAAAUCCUGGGGAGAGACUGUAGUAAGCCAAAAACAAAAUCGAUUCGGGCCUGGGCCGUACCGAUAUCCGCAUCAGGUCUCCAAGGUUUGAAGCCUCUGGCCAAUAGAACACUGUAGGUAAGGGAAGUCGGCAAAUUGGAUCCGUAACUUCGGAAGAAGGAUUGCCUCUGGGGGCCGGGCAGCACCUGGUCCGACCGGAAGCGGAGAAGGGGCCCGCCUGUCAAAUGCUGGGGGGCAACCCGCCGUGGAAGGGCACGACUUAAGUGGCCGGGAAUCGAGUGCGCGUCGCCGUAGGGCCGCGCCCCCGCAACCGCAAGGGCUGCCGGAGCGGUCGACGUGGAGGUGUCACGGUCCGGGGGAAUCCGACUGUCUAAUUAAAACAUAGCCUCUCGAAAACCGGCGAUCGGUGCUGACGGGAGGUGAAUUCUGCCCAGUGCCCUGAAUGUCAAAGUGGAGAAAUGCACAUAAGCGCGGGUAAACGGCGGGAGUAACUAUGACUCUCUUAAGGUAGCCAAAUGCCUCGUCAUCUAAUUAGUGACGCGCAUGAAUGGAUUAACGAGAUUCCCACUGUCCCUACCUACUAUCUAGCGAAACCACAGCCAAGGGAACGGGCUUGGCGAAGACAGCGGGGAAAGAAGACCCUGUUGAGCUUGACUCUAGUCCGACUCUGGCAGGCGGCGCGGGCGGUGUAGCAUAGGGAGGAGACCCCACCGAGGCGCAUCCCGUCGUCAGGGACAGCCGGGGGCUAGCACGGGUGCGGGGUUGGUAGAGCGCGGACCCUCCUCUGCCCUGGCGUGUGCGUGGCAUGGGGGCUGGCCUGCUGGCUGGACCCCUGGAUCGCUUGCGUCGGGCGGAGGAGAUCGCGCCUCCCUCCGUCUCGCUGGUUGGUCUCUGAGCACCCUGGUGGCGGCUCAACGGGGACCCGAGCUUGAAAUACUCCCACGUGCGCGUCCGUCUGCCUCCAUCCGGUGAAGCGGGCUUUGGGCGUUACCCCCAUGGCCGGUUGGGGGGCCGUUUUAUCACACAAGAGCUAAGUCGCCCCCUCGCGUCCUGCACAGCAGGUUCGGCGAGGCCGGCGGCGACCCGGUCCGGAGACAAAGUCAGGCGGGGAGUUUGGCUGGGGCGGUACGCCCGUCAAAUGAUAACGCGGGCGACCUAAGGCCAGCUCAGCUGCGGUUAGAAACCUGGCGUAGAGCACAAGGGCAAAAGCUGGCUUGACCGAGCGCAUCCAGUAAGUGCGCCGGCUGCGAAAGCAAGGCCUAGAGAUCCUCUCGGACCCACAGUGGUGCCUGGGAGCGCAGAUCAGGGGAGAGGUGUCAGAAAAGUUACCACAGGGAUAACUGGCUUGUGGCGGCCAAGCGUUCCUAGCGACGUCGCCGUUUGAUCCUUCGAUGUCGGCUCUUCCUAUCACGGCGAGGCAGGACUCGCCAAGCGUUGGAUUGUUCACCCACCAACAGGGAACGUGAGCUGGGUUUAGACCGUCGCGAGACAGGUUAGUUUUACCCUACUGUUGACCGUUGGAUGUCGAAGCGGCAGGGCUGCUCAGUACGAGAGGAACAGUGGACCCGGGCCUCUGGUUUUGCGGUGGGCCGAACGACCCGUGCCGCCAAGCUAGGCCCGUCCGAACGCCUCUCUUGUCCGUCCGUCCUGCGGGCGGGCGGGAGUGGGUGUGCAGGUAGGGCUGAACGCCUCUAAGCUCGGACCGGAUCCGCAGGAGACGACAGACGAUCAAGACCGAUCGGCGCUGGGGCACAACCCGCGGCGGCCGAUGCCUUUGCACUGCCUGCCCGUUGGCUCCCACUCCCCAAUAGACUCCCAUUAGACACUCAGGGUAGGGGAGAGGGGGAAAGUGGCGGGAGGGGCGGUGGAGGUCGACCGUUGCGGGCGGACGUGCCCAGGCAAGACGAGGGCGGCGGGAGGUUGGCCGGUCAAGUGCUGGCCAGGUGGCCCAUCAUCCCUGGUAGGAAGUAAAGAGGGGUGGUCUCGGUCGGUGGUUCCGGCCACCCCCUCCAGGUAGGGGCG
Molecule: ribosomal RNA, 5085 nt
Filed under: Ramisyllis multicaudata
Lineage: Eukaryota; Metazoa; Annelida; Polychaeta; Phyllodocida; Syllidae
Description: partial large subunit ribosomal RNA
Rfam family: Eukaryotic large subunit ribosomal RNA
Source: RNAcentral